Molecule: ribosomal RNA, 396 nt
Filed under: uncultured bacterium
Lineage: Bacteria
Description: partial 16S ribosomal RNA
Rfam family: Bacterial small subunit ribosomal RNA
Source: RNAcentral
AUACGAAGGGUGCAAGCGUUAAUCGGAAUUACUGGGCGUAAAGCGCGCGUAGGUGGUUCGUUAAGUUGGAUGUGAAAGCCCCGGGCUCAACCUGGGAACUGCAUCCAAAACUGGCGAGCUAGAGUAUGGCAGAGGGUGGUGGAAUUUCCUGUGUAGCGGUGAAAUGCGUAGAUAUAGGAAGGAACACCAGUGGCGAAGGCGACCACCUGGGCUAAUACUGACACUGAGGUGCGAAAGCGUGGGGAGCAAACAGGAUUAGAUCCCCUGGUAGUCCACGCCGUAAACGAUGUCGACUAGCCGUUGGGAUCCUUGAGAUCUUAGUGGCGCAGCUAACGCAUUAAGUCGACCGCCUGGGGAGUACGGCCGCAAGGUUAAAACUUAAAGGAAUUGACGGGG